Lepisosteus oculatus (spotted gar) is the source of this 1679-nucleotide non-coding RNA. The record is from RefSeq and is a predicted model, not a curated record. Lineage: Eukaryota; Metazoa; Chordata; Actinopteri; Semionotiformes; Lepisosteidae.
GAGCAGCAGAGCUCAGGAAUGCCCGUAACAGUCAUGAGAGAGAAGAGAGUGACCAGCAGACUGGAGUGCGAACGAAGCUCCAGGUCAGCUGAAAUCAGUGUCUGGCUUGAGCAUUAUUUUCUGCAAAAAUCUGGUUCUAUUUCCACAAGAGAACCACAAGAUGGCUCUGUUCUCUUCUAUCAAUUUAUUAACCCCUGAGCCUUCCUACAAAAGCCAGACGCUCACUCUGUUCCGGGCUCUGCAUUGGAACACAGACGCCCAGAGGCCCGUCUACCACAGAGUCGCCCUACGUUCACGGCUCGAGGGCAUAGGCCUCCUAUCAGCGUCCCGAACCAGCCGAGUCCAGGACUUGGAGCGCCUGGUCCCGUUACCCCUUUAAUCCCCCUGACCCUUCACCUGAUCCCGCUCCAGUUUUUAACUUUGUCAUGUCUGUCUUGGAUUGGAUCACCCGACUCUGGACUUUAGCCUGCACUACAUUUCCCUUCGGACUCCCCUUGGACUGUUUGCCUGGACCAUGUCCCCCCCCGAGCACCUGCACACCUUGGAUAUGCCCCCCUGUUUGUCUACCAGCCCAGCCCAGUUCCUCGUCUUCUCCCCUUCCAGAUUCUGCUGUCUGCGUAGGGUCCUGAAAGACGCUUCGUAACAGUAUUUAACCAAGAGAUCCAAAUAAUUUGGCCAGUGUAUUUUCUCUAUUUCCUUCCAGUAUGCUUGAGGUCAGGAUGUAUCUUUUGGUGGCAUGUGAAUGAAAAAGAAAACUCUGGGUUUCUUUUUCCAUUUGGAGAAAACUUCGAGAUGGUCUUGAAUCACCAAACAAGUAAUGUGUUGAUAGCUAUUUUCAUUAGUUUUUUUUGUAAAUCUGAUUAAGUACAGCUACCUCUUUGUAUUGAACCUAUCAUACUGUAGCUAUUGAUUAAAGUCUAAUGCCUUUUUAACUAUCAGGAGGUCUUUCAAUUGCACAUUUCUAGAUACUGUAGUCAUCUUUUGUCCUUUCAACAGACAUUGAUAAAAGCAAAAGCAUUUGGAAUUAUUUUACAAUAGCUAGCCCUCCUAAUCUCUUUCUCAGUUUGCCUUUAAGAUUUAGAGUAUGUCCUGGAGCUACUGGACUUCAAAACAUUAGAGAACCUAGUGCUAUUACCUAUUAAUGAGAUAGUAUGGAAGCACACAUGAAACAAAUAUUUCAUGUGGUAUCUCGUAAUUAUGAGAUUGGAAAUUGUCUCAUAAAGAUACGAAUGAUAAUGAUGAGUUUAUGGACAACCUGUAUUACAUUGUGCAAUAACAGCACCUGAGCUACCAGCAGCUCAGCUGGAACUUUAGGUUUAGUGUUCAUGACAAUGUCCAGCGCUACAGAAUGUGCAUGGACUUACUUUCGACUGGGGUUUAGUCAUAAUGAAACGUUGUAAUUUGUAUAUAAUGUGAACACAAUCAUUAUAACCAUGAGGGCGCUCACACCCUUAAACAAGACAUUUAAAAGUAUCGUUUAAACCUAUCCUUAUACAACUGAUUCCACUGCUUAAAACAGAAAGUCAACUAAUGACAAUAUAGGCAAUGUGAGACAAUUGUGCUAUCACGUGAUUAUCACAAACUAAUGGAUAAUCUACUAUCUUGUAAUUACAAGAUAGUUUACUAUCUCAUAAUAAUGAGAUAACACUCAAAGUAUUUUUUCCCAUUGAAGUAAGAGA